GUAAGCAGAGGUUAGAGGGAUGUUUAUUGAGGAAAGUGAAGAAGAGAUGAGGAUAGCACACAGUUUCUGAAACCUGGAGCCUUCUGCCCCUGGAAAGUGACAACAGCCUCAGAGAGAACUGAGAAGAGCCUGGGCACCAAUCCCUGUCUCAUGGGUGAGCCAUUGUCACAUGGUGCCUGAAAGUCCCCGGGGCCACCAGAAACACAGCCAAGCGG
This 215-nucleotide long non-coding RNA is filed under the name Fukomys damarensis (Damara mole-rat). RNAcentral's name for it is "lncRNA (ENSFDAG00000029380.1)". Lineage: Eukaryota; Metazoa; Chordata; Mammalia; Rodentia; Bathyergidae. The record is from RNAcentral.